GACGAACGCUGGCGGCGUGCUUAACACAUGCAAGUCGAACGGAAAGGCCCUGCUUUUGUGGGGUGCUCGAAUGGCGAACGGGUGAGUAACAAGUGAGUAACCUGCCCUUGACUUUGGGAUAACUUCAGGAAACUGGGGCUAAUACCGGAUAGGAGCUCCUGCUGCAUGGUGGGGGUUGGAAAGUUUCGGCGGUUGGGGAUGGACUCGCGGCUUAUCAGCUUGUUGGUGGGGUAGUGGCUUACCAAGGCUUUGACGGGUAGCCGGCCUGAGAGGGUGACCGGGCACAUUGGUACUGAGGGACGGCCCAGACGCCUACGGGGGGCAGCAGUGGGGAAUAUUGCACAAUGGGCGGAAGCCUGAUGCAGCAGCGCCGCGUGCGGGAUGACGGCCUUCGGGUUGUAAACCGCUUUCGCCUGUGACGAAGCGUGAGUGACGGUAAUGGGUAAAGAAGCACCGGCUAACUACGUG
RNAcentral lists this ribosomal RNA (468 nucleotides) under uncultured bacterium. RNAcentral describes it as "partial 16S ribosomal RNA". It matches the Rfam family "Bacterial small subunit ribosomal RNA", at positions 28 to 507 of the family's 1533-position model. The record is from RNAcentral.